This 206-nucleotide long non-coding RNA is filed under the name Populus tremula. RNAcentral describes it as "long non-coding RNA (PTRE_LNC002018)". Lineage: Eukaryota; Viridiplantae; Streptophyta; Magnoliopsida; Malpighiales; Salicaceae. The record is from RNAcentral.
AUGAAGAUAACAGGGAAGCCUUACCUGGCGAUUCGAAGGCGCAGGAGACAGCAACAGCUCGAGCACUCCCGGAGAAUUCUCUCUUCGUCCUCCUCUCAGUCUCUUCCCCUCUGUUCGUGUGUUUCUGUUUGUUGGGUUUCCUUACUUACCGUCUGCUCUCCUCUGCUUUCCUUUUCUGUUCGUGUUCUCUGCCUUCUCCCCUCUGC